AACAGUUGGAAACGGCUGCUAAUACCCCAUAAGCCGAGAGGUAAAAGGAUUUAUCCGGCAAAGGAGGCACUCGCGUCCUAUCAGCUAGUAGGUUGGGUAACGGCCGAACUAGGCGAAGACGGGUAGCCGGACUGAGAGGGCGAACGGACACACUGGAACUGAGAUACGGUCCAGACUCCUACGGGAGGCAGCAGUUGGGAAUAUUGGGCAAUGGGGGGAACCCUGAACCAGCGACGCCGCGUGGGUGAAGAAAUCCUUCGGGAUGUAAAGACCUGUUGUAUGGGAAGAGUAGAAAGACGGGUACCAUACGAGGAAGCCCCGGCAAACUACGUGCCAGCAGCCGCGGUAAUACGUAGGGGGCAAGCGUUGUCCGGAAUUACUGGGCGUAAAGCGCACGCAGGCUGACUUAUAAGUCGGGUAGUCUAAUGCGGAGGCUCAACUUCCGUUUAUCUAUCGAUACUGUAAGACUAGAGUAUGUGAGAGGGAAGUGGAAUUCCCGGUGUAAAAGGUGAAAUGCGUAGAUAUCGGGAGGAACACCAGUGGCGAAGGCGACUUCCUGGCACAAUACUGACGCUCAUGUGCGAAAGCUAGGGUAGCGAACGGGAUUAGAUACCCCGGUAGUCCUAGCCGUAAACGAUGGAUACUAGGUGUGGGUGUCGCAGGGCAUCCGUGCCGCAGCUAACGCGUUAAGUAUCCCGCCUGGGGACUACGGUCGCAAGACUGAAACUCAAAGGAAUUGACGGGGGCCCGCACAAGCGGUGGAGCACGUGGUUUAAUUCGAUGCAAACCGAAGAACCUUACCUGGGUUUGACAUGCAGGUGGUAGAGAG
Molecule: ribosomal RNA, 829 nt
Filed under: uncultured Synergistota bacterium
Lineage: Bacteria; Thermotogati; Synergistota
Description: bacterial SSU rRNA
Rfam family: Bacterial small subunit ribosomal RNA
Source: RNAcentral